GACGAACUUUGGCGGCGUGCUUAACACAUGCAAGUCGAACGGAAAGGCCCUGCUUUUGUGGGGUGCUCGAGUGGCGAACGGGUGAGUAACACGUGAGUAACCUGCCCUUGACUUUGGGAUAACUUCAGGAAACUGGGGCUAAUACCGGAUAGGAGCUCCUGCUGCAUGGUGGGGGUUGGAAAGUUUCGGCGGUUGGGGAUGGACUCGCGGCUUAUCAGCUUGUUGGUGGGGUAGUGGCUUACCAAGGCUUUGACGGGUAGCCGGCCUGAGAGGGUGACCGGCCACAUUGGGACUGAGAUACGGCCCAGACUCCUACGGGAGGCAGCAGUGGGGAAUAUUGCACAAUGGGCGGAAGCCUGAUGCAGCAACGCCGCGUGCGGGAUGACGGCCUUCGGGUUGUAAACCGCUUUCGCCUGUGACGAAGCGUGAGUGACGGUAAUGGGUAAAGAAGCACCGGCUAACUACGUGCCAGCAGCCGCGGUGAUACGUAGGGUGCGAGCGUUGUCCGGAUUUAUUGGGCGUAAAGGGCUCGUAGGUGGUUGAUCGCGUCGGAAGUGUAAUCUUGGGGCUUAACCCUGAGCGUGCUUUCGAUACGGGUUGACUUGAGGAAGGUAGGGGAGAAUGGAAUUCCUGGUGGAGCGGUGGAAUGCGCAGAUAUCAGGAGGAACACCAGUGGCGAAGGCGGUUCUCUGGGCCUUUCCUGACGCUGAGGAGCGAAAGCGUGGGGAGCGAACAGGCUUAGAUACCCUGGUAGUCCACGCUGUAAACGGUGGGUACUAGGUGUGGGGUCCAUUCCACGGGUUCCGUGCCGUAGCUAACGCUUUAAGUACCCCGCCUGGGGAGUACGGCCGCAAGGCUAAAACUCAAAGGAAUUGACGGGGCCCCGCACAAGCGGCGGAGCAUGCGGAUUAAUUCGAUGCAACGCGUAGAACCUUACCUGGGUUUGACAUGGAUCGGGAGUGCUCAGAGAUGGGUGUGCCUCUUUUGGGGUCGGUUCACAGGUGGUGCAUGCCUGUCGUCAGCUCGUGUCGUGAGAUGUUGGGUUAAGUCCCGCAACGGGCGCAACCCUUGUUCACUGUUGCCAGCACGUUAUGGUGGGGACUCAGUGGAGACCGCCGGGGUCAACUCGGAGGAAGGUGGGGAUGACGUCAAGUCCUCAUGCCCCUUAUGUCCAGGGCUUCACGCAUGCUACAAUGGCUGGUACAGAGAGUGGCGAGCCUGUGAGGGUGAGCGAAUCUCGGAAAGCCGGUCUCAGUUCGGAUUGGGGUCUGCAACUCGACCUCAUGAAGUCGGAGUCGCUAGUAAUCGCAGAUCAGCAACGCUGCGGUGAAUACGUUCCCGGGGCU
RNAcentral lists this ribosomal RNA (1346 nucleotides) under uncultured bacterium. RNAcentral's name for it is "bacterial SSU rRNA". It matches the Rfam family "Bacterial small subunit ribosomal RNA", at positions 28 to 1381 of the family's 1533-position model. The record is from RNAcentral.